GAUGAACGCUAGCGGCAGGCUUAACACAUGCAAGUCGAGGGGCAGCAUACCCGGUGACGGGUGAUGGCGACCGGCGGAAGGGUGAGUAACGCGUGAGCAACAUACCCGUAUCAGUGGGAUAAUACAGGGAAACUUGUUCUAAUAUCACAUAAUAUUAUUCAGAGGCAUCUUUGGAUAAUUAAAGUUCAGGCGGAUACGGAAUGGCUCGCGUGACAUUAGCUAGAUGGUAGGGUAAAGGCCUACCAUGGCUAUGAUGUCUAGGGGUUCUGAGAGGGAGGUCCCCCACACUGGAACUGAGACACGGUCCAGACUCCUACGGGAGGCAGCAGUGAGGAAUAUUGGACAAUGGAUGGAAAUCUGAUCCAGCCAUGCCGCGUGCAGGAAGGCGGCCCUAUGGGUUGUAAACUGCUUUUGUACGGGAGCAAUAAGGUCUACGAGUAGAUUGAUGAGAGUACUGUACGAAUAAGCAUCGGCUAACUCCGUG
This 484-nucleotide ribosomal RNA is filed under the name uncultured bacterium. Its description in RNAcentral is "bacterial SSU rRNA". It matches the Rfam family "Bacterial small subunit ribosomal RNA", at positions 28 to 507 of the family's 1533-position model. The record is from RNAcentral.